UCCUCUCCUCUCCUCUCCUCUCCUCUCCUCUCCUCUCCUCUCCACUUCCCUCCUCCCGUCCUCUUUCCUGGCUGGUCCCCUCACCUGCUGAAAGCGAGCAGCAUCUCAGCACCCCCUCCUCCAUCUCCCUGUCCUGCUCUUGUGCCUCAGUUCCGCAUAGUAGAAUCAGAUUUCACUGCUGGGAUCCCGUACCUGUCGUUUACCUUCACUUUGCCCCUGAACAUCCCCUGAGCACUCAUUAGUCCUUAGAGGAUUCAACUUUUCCUUCAGUGCUCUCUCGUGUGUCCCUUCAGACUCCCCUUCUCAGGCUGCAGUCAGGCUAACUGUUUCUCCCUUCAUUCUUGAUGUCAUGUCUUCAUGUCCCCCCUCUUUCCAUCUCCAUCUUCCCUCUUCCUAUCUCCCUCUGUCUCAUCCUACCAUCUCCUGUGAGUGAUAAGCCCUAUUUUGUUUAAUUUACUCCUCUUGCAAAUCUGUUACAGAUUUUUAUUUCACGUUCAUGUCGCCUAUCUCCUCUGCAUCCCCUCUCUGCCUCCUGCUCCUCCUCUUCCCUCCUCCCCCCAGCCUUUUUCAGCAAUGCCCUUUCUGUUGCCUGCUGAGGCUCGUGCUUCAUUAAGUCCAGGCAAACUGCCACCAGGGUAACAAGUAAGAGGAGCAGAGGAGCCUAUAUGCAGAACACAGCAGAAGAGGCUCAUGAAUCAACAACCAGACAAGGAGUAAAUGAGGUAAUCAGUAAAGUGCUUCUGUUUCAUGGAUCGCUCUCCAGCUGACUGGGUGCUGUGGUUAAUGUGUCAGCAGCUGGAGGGAGAACGAGGAGGAGUGGAGAGAACAGGUGGGCGGCAGAGAGAGGGAAGCAGAGCGGAGGGCAAGAGUCUGGUGGAUUCAGAGGCUAAUUUGUGGGAUGGUGCCAAUAAACCUUAGACUGUCUCCCAGUAUCUCUUUGUUUGACAUCCUUCCUGUCUUGUUUCUUCAUCGCUGUUUCUAUCUGCCUUGAUCUUUAUCUCUACGUGACCCACACAUGUUCUUCAUCUCUUUGUUUUAUAUGAUAUUUCUCUAUGUAUGUGUGUCACGUUCUUGACCUGAACUAGGGGUUAGGUGUAGUACUAUUUUAAUAACCUAAUAUUUUAUGUGUGUGCACCUGUAAAAUGAAAUGAGAUCAAAUAUAUAUAUUGCCCAUGAAC
Clupea harengus (Atlantic herring) is the source of this 1178-nucleotide long non-coding RNA. RefSeq lists it as uncharacterized. NCBI's taxonomy places the organism in Eukaryota, Metazoa, Chordata, Actinopteri, Clupeiformes, Clupeidae. The record is from RefSeq and is a predicted model, not a curated record. The transcript is spliced from 3 exons.